Molecule: long non-coding RNA, 2142 nt
Organism: Haemorhous mexicanus (house finch)
Lineage: Eukaryota; Metazoa; Chordata; Aves; Passeriformes; Fringillidae
Exons: 2
Source: RefSeq, a predicted model, not a curated record
GGGGGCUCGGGGCUCGCUGCGGGCCUCGGGGGCGGCAGGGGGCUCAGGCGGGUUGGUUGUGCCGUGUCCGGCCCGUGUUGCCCCGGGGCAGGGCGCUGCGGGAGCGGCUGCCCGCGGCCUCCUUCCCGCCGCUGCCUCGGCAGGAGCCGCUGCCGGAGCGGCGCUGGCUCGGCCCGGUUCCUGUGGCUGGGACAGAGGGGGCUGCCCCGCCGCCGCGGCUGUGCGGGGAAUUCACGUCGGCGGAGGUUUCUGUGCCCGGAGGAGGCAGAGGAGUCCUGUAAAAGUGACUUUAUUGCUGAGCAGAGGGAGAGGGCAUGGGGCAUUUGCCGUGCGGUCUCUGCCAUUGUUGGAGUUCGCAGCCUACUUUUUAUUCUCAUUUUCCCGGCCUUAUUUCCCCCUCCCUGUGCCCACUGGCUGAGGUGCUUGGAAGGUUCAGACUUCCCGAUCCGCCUGCUGUAUGUCCUCGUUAAUGUGCACCCCCACUUUUGUUUAACAUCCGAUAUUCACGGGCUCUGUUAAGUCCUUGUUCUUCUCGAAGUUCAGGAAUCUAGCGGGACUUUGAGCAGGUGUCCGUGUAAAUUUGUAACAUUUUCUGGAACUAAUGGUUUCUCCCGUUACUUCCUUAUCUACAAGUCCCUGGCCCUAUCUCCAAACAGAUUCACUAAUUGACUCUGUUUUUUCUUCCUGGGUCCUCUUUGAUUUUGGGAUUAUUCUCAGUGCCCUCCUUCCCUGUCCUUCUGUAGCCGUUUCUGGAUCAGGAGGCCUGGCUGCCACCUGCAUCCCCUGGCUCACCUGCUGAAUGAGCUGCACUCUCAAGCACGGAGAGAGAGUUUGCACCCUGUGACUGCAGCAGCUGCCUCAGCGCUGGAGGGACUGAUAACAGAGCAAACCCCCAGGAGAGACUUUCUGAAUUUGUCAUCUUUUUCAGAGCAGUGGAAGAGUGGUGUCACCCGGUUUUGUUCAUUGUGUGUGCUGGGGGGUGCUGUGCCUGUUAAAUAAACAGGUUCUUUCCACCUCUCUCUGAGGAAUUCUUCCCAAACCGGUUGGGGGGAGGGGCUGUGUGGGUUUGUUUUAUGGAGAAGCCCUUUUUGGGGAUUCUCUCCCAAAUGUGCCCUAAACCAGGACACCUUUCCCUAUUAUUGUUGAUUUUAGCUUCCACUCUCCUUCCCUGCUUUUGGGUACUACCAUACUUUUUCUUGAUGUAAUCCAUUUUAAAAUGUCUAGGGGACCUAAACUGAUACCAUCCCAUGGCCAAAUUUCACUUAAGUGUGUCCCCCCCCACACCCAACAAUCAGUCAGAUUAAAUUCUUUCAUAAUCUUUUCCACCAUAUUGAUAAAAAGAUUCUUUCCAUAUAUUUGUCCCUCUCUAUCCGUUUGCCUUUUCACUGGCAAGGAGAAAGAAGUUGCACUUCUUUCUCUUUGAAUGUAUCCUCUAAGUUGGUUUCACUUUCUUGUUCAAAACUUACCCAUCUUUCUUUCACAGGGCACUCUCAUGACAUCUCCUAGCUGGGGUUUGCAAUAGUUUUAGCCAGCUGUGAAAAAUGCAUAUUUUAUGAUUGGCUUUUUGCAAAUAUUAAAAUGAAUAUUAUGUGUUAUGUUAGGAAGUUAUGCAGUAUUAAUUUUCUUCAGUAGUGUGUUAAAUAUAGUUCUAGGUUAAAACAUAAUGUUAAAAUAGAAACGAUGUGUGUGGGCUAUUUUUUUAAAGAAAGGAACGAGGUAUUUCCACCGAGAUAGCAGCCACAGGACACCUAAAUCUUUCAGAGACAGAGAAUUUAUUGCUCCAUUAUCACAAGAAACAAUCUUCUUCCUGUCUUGCUCCACUCUGAAGAUGCCAUCAGGAUUCAGAGGAAGCAGCUGACACUGACCAGACAGAAUCCUGUGUUUGAAUGGAAUUUAUGCAUCAUGUAUGAAAUCUAUGAAUAUGCAACAGGCUUUUGUUUUUUGCAAGUAAUCCUCUGUUAACGUGUGUCCUUUUUUUGGCUUAUUUUGCCCAGAAAGAGGUCCCUGGACCUUACAUAACUCUUUGUUCUUAUUGUCUUGUAUUGUCCUAAAACCUAAUUGUCAAAGUAUUUAUUGCUCUAAAUAUAUUACUAUUUUUAUAACCAUUUUAUGAUUAUUAAACUUUUAAAUUUUUAAAAACAA